Molecule: ribosomal RNA, 429 nt
Filed under: Bacteroidota bacterium
Lineage: Bacteria; Pseudomonadati; Bacteroidota
Description: Bacteroidetes bacterium partial 16S ribosomal RNA
Rfam family: Bacterial small subunit ribosomal RNA
Source: RNAcentral
UAGGGAAUCUUCCGCAAUGGGCGAAAGCUUGACGGAGCAACGCCGCGUGAGUGAUGAAGGUCUUCGGAUCGUAAAACUCUGUUAUUAGGGAAGAACAAAUGUGUAAGUAACUAUGCACGUCUUGACGGUACCUAAUCAGAAAGCCACGGCUAACUACGUGCCAGCAGCCGCGGUAAUACGUAGGUGGCAAGCGUUAUCCGGAAUUAUUGGGCGUAAAGCGCGCGUAGGCGGUUUUUUAAGUCUGAUGUGAAAGCCCACGGCUCAACCGUGGAGGGUCAUUGGAAACUGGUUGAAUUGAGUGCAGAAGAGGAGAGUGGAAUUCCAUGUGUAGCGGUGAAAUGCGUAGAUAUAUGGAGGAACACCAGUGGCGAAGGCGACUCUCUGGUCUGUAACUGACGCUGAGGCUCGAAAGCGUGGGUAGCAAACAGG